Molecule: long non-coding RNA, 779 nt
Filed under: Nicotiana benthamiana
Lineage: Eukaryota; Viridiplantae; Streptophyta; Magnoliopsida; Solanales; Solanaceae
Description: long non-coding RNA (NBEN_LNC010509)
Source: RNAcentral
UUAUUCCAAAACGAUCAUGCUGCGGGAAUAAUAAGAACACCAAAUGAAAGCACAAGUAGAUUUCCAUAUUACUUAAAUCAAAAUCAGCUAACUAACUUGAUCCCACUUAUUUUUGGACCAUCAUCACAAUAACACAAUUCUAUAUAUUCGUAAACAGUAAAAUAGGAGAUAACCAAGAGAACAAAUAAAACAUAUGCACUGUUUUCAAAUCAGAAAUUCGCACAAGUUGAAACACGGACAGAAAACAAUGCUGGAACAACUGAACGGAUGGUAGUUUCACCAAUAACCUCAAUCAUAAUUCAAAUCAUAAACUCAAGCGGACAUGUAACACAAUGACAGUAGCACUUAAUUUCAAGCUUUAAUCAAAUUUCGGACAUAAACCAGAGAUAUAAAGGAGUGGGGAUUGACCUAAGAAAUAUUACUUUAACCAGUUUGAUUUGCAAAGAAAUUACAAGCUGAAUCCAAGCUGUAACAACAACGAAGAAUUCCACCAUGAACCUCGGACGGCGACGAGCCAGCUUCAAACCUCAAACUCGCAUCCAUUUUUGAAACCAUAUCCGAAAUCAAAGAUGAUAAACAACAUUUUGAGAAAAUGACCACAUGUAAUCUCAACGACAAACUCGACAGUAGCAACAAGCUGGUCGACUCGACCCAGACCAGACAGGAGAAAUUACUGCCCCUCGACAAUGCUAGAAAACUCAGAAAAAAGUCCAACACAAACCAAAAAUUGAAGUCUGUUUCAACGGGAUUUGUGUUGAAUGGGCAGGGGUUUCCCCAGU